RNAcentral lists this ribosomal RNA (497 nucleotides) under uncultured bacterium. Its description in RNAcentral is "partial 16S ribosomal RNA". It matches the Rfam family "Bacterial small subunit ribosomal RNA", at positions 28 to 507 of the family's 1533-position model. The record is from RNAcentral.
GAUGAACGCUGGCGGCGUGCCUAAUACAUGCAAGUCGAGCGAACAGAUGAGGAGCUUGCUCCUCUGACGUUAGCGGCGGACGGGUGAGUAACACGUGGAGAACCUACCUAUAAGACUGGGAUAACUUCGGGAAACCGGAGCUAAUACCGGAUAAUAUAUUGAACCGCAUGGUUCAAUAGUGAAAGACGGUUUUGCUGUCACUUAUAGAUGGAUCCGCGCCGCAUUAGCUAGUUGGUAAGGUAACGGCUUACCAAGGCAACGAUGCGUAGCCGACCUGAGAGGGUGAUCGGCCACACUGGAACUGAGACACGGUCCAGACUCCUACGGGAGGCAGCAGUAGGGAAUCUUCCGCAAUGGGCGAAAGCCUGACGGAGCAACGCCGCGUGAGUGGUGAAGGUCUUCGGAUCGUAAAACUCUGUUAUUGGGGAAGAACAAAUGUGUAAGUAACUAUGCACGUCUUGACGGUACCUAAUCAGAAAGCCACGGCUAACUACGUG